Molecule: long non-coding RNA, 212 nt
Filed under: Gallus gallus (chicken)
Lineage: Eukaryota; Metazoa; Chordata; Aves; Galliformes; Phasianidae
Source: RNAcentral
UGAGCAGCGAUCAUUCUGACGGGGACUCCCGGCCCCGCGGCGCCUCCCGAGUGCGGCGGCUGCGAGGAGGCUCGCUGAGGGCGGCCGGCCGCCGGGCCGCGCUCCGCCGAGUCCCGGGACGGGCUGCGAGCGCCGCGCCCGCGCGCACCACCAACUCCGGCCGCCGCCGGCCGCGGCACGGCCCCGCCCCCUCGCGCACGGGGGGGCGGUGC